This 468-nucleotide ribosomal RNA is filed under the name uncultured bacterium. Its description in RNAcentral is "partial 16S ribosomal RNA". It matches the Rfam family "Bacterial small subunit ribosomal RNA", at positions 28 to 507 of the family's 1533-position model. The record is from RNAcentral.
GACGAACGCUGGCGGCGUGCUUAACACAUGCAAGUCGAACGGAAAGGCCCUGCUUUUGUGGGGUGCUCGAGUGGCGAACGGGUGAGUAACACGUGAGUAACCUGCCCUUGACUUUGGGAUAACUUCAGGAAACUGGGGCUAAUACCGGAUAGGAGCUCCUGCUGCAUGGUGGGGGUUGGAAAGUUUCGGCGGUUGGGGAUGGACUCGCGGCUUAUCAGCUUGUUGGUGGGGUAGUGGCUUACCAAGGCUUUGACGGGUAGCCGGCCUGAGAGGGUGACCGGCCACAGUGGGAUUGAGAUACGGACCAAACUCCUACGGGAGGCAGCAGUGGGGAAUAUUGCACAAUGGGCGGAAGCCUGAUGCAGCAACGCCGCGUGCGGGAUGACGGCCUUCGGGUUGUAAACCGCUUUCGCCUGUGACGAAGCGUGAGUGACGGUAAUGGGUAAAGAAGCACCGGCUAACUACGUG